RNAcentral lists this ribosomal RNA (254 nucleotides) under uncultured bacterium. Its description in RNAcentral is "partial 16S ribosomal RNA". It matches the Rfam family "Bacterial small subunit ribosomal RNA", at positions 524 to 776 of the family's 1533-position model. The record is from RNAcentral.
UACGGGGGGGGGCAAGCGUUGUUCGGAAUUACUGGGCGUAAAGGGCUCGUAGGCGGCCAACUAGGUCAGACGUGAAAUCCCUCGGCUUAACCGGGGAACUGCAUCUGAUACUGGAUGGCUUGAGUUCGGGAGAGGGAUGCGGAAUUCCAGGUGUAGCGGUGAAAUGCGCAGAUAUCGGGAGGAACACCAGUAGCGAAGGCGGCACUCUGGGCCGGUACUGACGCUGAGACGCGAAAGCGUGGGGAGCGAACAGG